CAGCUCUCAUAGUUUUGAUACUCUUAUCAUCUUGGUUUCAAAAGCAGGGACCAUACCCAAAUUAUUUUUGCAUGCCCUGGGCCUGGGUAUUGUCCAGCAGGGGGUACGGACCUGAAAACAAGUCUUGCAUUCAUUUAUUUGCUAACAAUUAGAACCUAGAACCUAUUUCCAUUGACAUCCCAAUCAGUUAAAUUUAGGUGCCUGUUUUAAUAGGUUCUUUUUUUCUUGAGCUACUCAAGAGUUCUCCUUUCUAUUUUGCAGAUAUUCCAUUUAGAUAAUACCAGGCAGGACAAAAAGAGGUUUGUAUAGUUUUGGAAACUUCACGAAUAAGGAACACCCACAGGUUCAAGAAGAUGCAUUAAGGACUCACGUCUGCUGGGAUAAUUCACAUCACUAUAACAAGUAGGGACUGAACAUCUCUGUGGAAAACACUGAACAAAGGGGAAAUAUAUAUUAUUUCUGCUCUCAAAGAGUUUAUGUCAGAAAGAGAGUGAUCAGAAUGACACAAAUAGCUAGAAGAGAAAGCAGAGCUUCUUCUGUGGAGGAGCCAGGCAGAAGGUGCGAAGGCAAUGGAAAUGCAGCAGAGAGGAACUAUCUGUGGAGCAUAAAGAGCCUCCAUUAAUUAUAAUGCUCCAGGUUUCCCCAGUCGAAUGCUACAUCGCAUGAGACUAAGUGAGCUGCGCCAUUUCAACACAAUCCCGCACAGCGACUGAGUGCGGCAAGAAAGCGUGGAUGCUGUGAAGCCGUCAGUUGUGAAACAAGACUUGAAUGAGCUCCUUAGUUCACACUUCCUUUCCUGCCCAGCUUGCACGCUUGGUGAUGAUGACUUUCCAAGCAACACUAGAAGUUUGACCUCCUUAUCAGUAAAAAUGUGUGCAGAUGUCUCAAAAGUCAGAGCUACUGCAGAUAAAGUUUGGUUUCAGGCUUCACCUUGGUUACAGUUAUUUGAAGGUACCAUUAGCUGAAUUUAUCUCACUCAAAUUCCUAACUAAGCGAAGCUUCUUACUUGGCUUUCAUUUAGCCCUUCUAUCUGUCCCAAUAAUCAGUAGACCAGAAAUACACGGAGCGUUGUCA
This is a long non-coding RNA of Phyllostomus discolor (pale spear-nosed bat), 1074 nucleotides long. RefSeq lists it as uncharacterized. Lineage: Eukaryota; Metazoa; Chordata; Mammalia; Chiroptera; Phyllostomidae. The transcript is spliced from 3 exons. The record is from RefSeq and is a predicted model, not a curated record.